Molecule: ribosomal RNA, 660 nt
Filed under: uncultured fungus
Lineage: Eukaryota; Fungi
Description: eukaryotic LSU rRNA
Rfam family: Eukaryotic large subunit ribosomal RNA
Source: RNAcentral
CCCGCUGAACUUAAGCAUAUCAAUAAGCGGAGGAAAAGAAACUAACAAGGAUUCCCUUAGUAACUGCGAGUGAAGUGGGAAAAGCUCAAAUUUAGAAUCUGGCAGUCACUUGGCUGUCCGAGUUGUAAUCUAGAGAAGUGUUGCCCGUGCUGGACCAUGUACAAGUCUCCUGGAAUGGAGCAUCACAGAGGGUGAGAAUCCUGUCUUUGACAUGGACUGCCAGUGCUUUUGUGGUACGCUCUCAAAGAGUCGAGUUGUUUGGGAAUGCAGCUCAAAAUGGGUGGUAAAUGCCAUCUAAAGCUAAAUAUUGGCGAGAGACCGAUAGCGAACAAGUACCGUGAGGGAAAGAUGAAAAGAACUUUGGAAAGAGAGUUAAACAGUACGUGAAAUUGCUGAAAGGGAAACGCUUGAAGUCAGUCGCGUCAUCCAGGGAUCAACCUUGCUUUUGCUUGGUGCACUUUCUGGUUUGAUGGGUCAGCAUCAAUUUUGACCAUUGGAAAAAGGCUAAGGGAAUGUGGCAUCUUUGGAUGUGUUAUAGCCCUUGGUCACAUACAAUGGUUGGGAUUGAGGAACUCAGCAUGCCGCAAGGCCGGGUUUUUAACCACGUUCAUGCUUAGGAUGCUGGCAAUAUGGCUUUAAUCGACCCGUCUUGAAACACGG